Molecule: long non-coding RNA, 3632 nt
Organism: Motacilla alba alba
Lineage: Eukaryota; Metazoa; Chordata; Aves; Passeriformes; Motacillidae
Exons: 3
Source: RefSeq, a predicted model, not a curated record
CUGAGGGAGGAGAGCCCCGCCGCCGCCGCCGCCCGGCAGCGGCCACAAAGAUGCGUUAGAAACAUCCCCCCGGCAAGACGAAGAGCAAGGGGAGCGGAGCCGCAGGAGCCAAAGUAACGGUUUCGGAGCCGGGCGCGGCCCCCCCGCCCCGCGGCCCCGCGCCCCGGCGCUGCCCGGGGCCCGCCCGACCUGCCCGCACCUCGGCCGGCGCGACCCUCCCUCCUCCCCGGGGACCCCGGCAGAGCCCUCCGGGAGCACCGACAUUUUGAGUGCUGUGUGGUGGGGCAGGCUGUGCUGAGAGCCGGGAAUUUCAGCACUUUAGUCAGGAGAUAAUAAUGUCUGGCUGCUUCUGGCUGCCCAGUGAAUUCCCAGGUACAUUUGUGGAAGAAAACCUUUUCUUUCUUUUAGAAGAUGAAAAGUGGUAGUUUUCUCCUGUGUUAACUCUUUCUUCAUGUGAGCAAUGCAAUGGCAUUUCCUAGGGAGCUAAUAUCUUACCCCACCAUGGAAUAAACCAUUGAUUCCAUUCCUCUCCCCACACUGAAAGCUGGAAAGAAAGUAUUUUUUCUGUACUUAAAUGUGCUGUGGCUUAUUGCACUGGAGACUGAGGAAAAUUCACCUUCAAAUACCAUCUCAUUCACUCUCCCCCUGCUAAGGGCAGAGCAGUGCCAGGGUUAGCCCUGCACCUCUGCCCCUCUCUCCCAGCACCCACAGAUCGAGUAUUUCACCCCCUCACGGUGCUGCUGCCACAGAUGAAACUCUCUUCGUUCCCUGUAGGAUCCCUUUAGGAUCUGCCCCUUUCCAAAAGGAGCUCAGCAGCCCCCGCCGUUGUUCCGAGGAUAAUUUAGAAACAAAGGUCAAGUGUAACAGCUUUGCUCAUCCGUGUAACUGAAAUAGGGGAGAGGGCUGUUGCCCCACAGCUGUGUCCUCACACAGCCUGGUCACUGGGAAUCCUGGUACAGCUACAUUUAAUGCUCCAUUCCUUCACUUUUUUUCUGUGCUUGCUGUAUUUGUUUCUAUUUAUACCUCUCCUCUCGAUACUGCACUCUUUGCUGCCGAUUCCUGGGCUGCUACAGGGUGAUCUCUGCUCCUGCCUGGAGACUUACUUGGCAGUUGGUUUAUGUCUCAAUAAAAGCUCUCAAAAAUCUUCAAUUCAACCUCACACGCUGCAGUUUUGCAUCUCUGGGUGAAUGUGUUUGUCGACGUUUUCAGGAAUAUGCGAGUUCUUGAAACUGGAGUUUUUGAUGUUGCCAAAAUACUGGGGGGAAAGCGCCAAAGCAAUUUCUGUAACCACAUGCGAUAUUGCAAUCCUUUUUAGGUGUCAAGAUUCUCUAUUAAUGAGACUUGCUUUAUAUUAUUUUCUCCUCUCUCGGUAAAUACAAAGAUUUCUGGAGGAAAGCCAUUCCCCAGCAACCGGGCACCUUUUGUCACUGCCAAACCCCGUAAGGUGCGUGUAACCCACCCGCUGCCUGCUUGCUUCGGUUUCCCAGAGGCUCUCUGCAGUAACUAUUAACUUCCUGGGAUAAUAGAGAGCAAUUUUUUGCCUUCCAAGUAUCUAACUAGGAAUUUCAAUUGAUCAUCUUGUUGAGGGGCUCACAGAGAAAACGCAGCAGUGAAAUCAGAUAAAACACACCUUUAAAGCAGCCUAUCAGCCGUGACUCAGCCGCCGAGGCUUUGGGCAUGGCCGGGGGGUGAUUCGUCCCGGCUUUAACCCUGAACUCCUGGCACGCAAUAAACGCCGCUAUUUCUGACUAGGCGGGGCAUUUUUCUCGGAAGAGAAGUUGUUCUUAUUAAGCCACUGCUUAAACUUUACCUUAGCGUAAAUUAAAUGCUGAUGAAGCUCCAAACGGGUUUGGAAUGAGGGGUUUUUUUAGUAGCACGGGUGAAAAAAACAAAACAAAACAAAACAAAAAAAGAAACGUGAGAAAGCUGGAUAUUACCUUCUGGUGUAGCACGGAAUUCCUCUUUGUAAGAGGAAGGGAGAAGGAAAAGGCUUGGAGCAUCCUCCAGGACACGAGGAAAGGAAGAUGGAGAGCAACACAGAGCGAUUUGAGUCACUUCACCUCAGGGACCUGUGGAUUAUGUUGCUCGGUUUAGUAUUUCAAGGGGUUUAGUGCUCUUUCUACCGGGAAUUUUGGGGUUAUUUCCCCAAAAAUGCUUCUUACGUGCUGUGCUGCUCCGAUUAAUGAUCAUGGCACAAUUUUUCAUAUUUCACAGAGGUUUUUAAUCAGAACACAGCAGUGUGACAGAGCUUAUAGUAAAUAUGACAGACAGUUUCAGCAAAUUUUUUUUUACUUGAAAAUGUAGUAACUGAUUUUGUGGGGCUAAUUAAAAAAAAAAGUUAAAAACUAAACUAAUAUAUUCCCUCUCCUCUUUUAAGUGCUAUUUAAAGUAGUAUUCAUUUUGCAUUGAUUUAAAACCUUCUAUUUUGCACGGCUGAAAUGUAGACUAUUCAAAAUGAAGCACUUUAAACUGCCCAUCUGCCCAAUAAGUAGAUCCUGUACAAAUGUUAAAAGUUUCAUAAUAGACUCUUCCCGACACGGUACUGAGCAUCGUUAGCUCCUGUUGGGGCUGGAGAGGCAAAUGAGUUUCAGUCUGGUGAAUACUCUCAACUCUCUGUUGCAAUAGAAAAUUUCCAAUGGUUAAAUUGUGUUUUAGGUGCAAGCAAUAACUUAACUUCACAAAUAUCAAAAGUGCUGCUUCCUAAAUGUCACCGUAUUCAGAUGUUCUUGUUUUGUGAGAUGCUGUCAUUAAAAUAGUUUAUUUCCAGACAAAACAGAAUAGCUGGUGGAAAGCAAAUAUUACUUAGAGAACAUCUAGGCUGCAAUCAGCAGAUGAAGCGACCAGAAGUGCUGUAUUGCAGCUUUCGUGUCCUCUUUGACAAUGGUUCUCUGCUGCUUGUUUUGAAACUAGAAAAAAAAACGUCGUCUGCAGUGCACAGUAAACACGAACUACUAAACUGAGCUGUUUAAAACCUCUGGCAAUCGAAGAAACACCACUUAUACUGUUUCUGGUAACUAAAUUCAAAACCAGAUUGGUGAAAGUUUAAAUACACAAAGAGGAAAAGUGUCAUCUACAUUUAGAAAGUAAGUGACCUAGUUCUACAAGCUCUUGUUAGUGACAAAAUACAGUUACUGCCUAAAGCAUCUAAGCGCCAUCCACUGUCCUCAGGCCACGCAGCCUUUGACUUCCAGCUCUGCCUGUGCAGGGGCUGCAGGUGACCCCUUAUCAAAGGAUGUUUUUAUCUAAAGCAGGACCUCAGACUCUUGAGCCUGACGGAAAGGGGUGGGGGGAGUGAGGAGAAGGGAGGGGUGCAUUGAGAGGUGGGAGAAAUCACAGUAAACUAUUUCCUUUUCUUAAAAGUCCAGCAAUAUUAAGCAAGUGAAGAGUAGCUCUUGUAUUAAUGACUUGAUACGAAUGACCUAAAAUAAAUUGUAAAAGUUGAUACUGGAAAACUAGAUAUGAGCAACCAACAUACACACGGACGAGCCUGGGAGUACUGUGUAAAGUGAAAGGUAUAGGAAACUGCUGGGAGCAUGGAUUUAAAACGUUUCCAUUGCCUAAAAAAACCACCUCUGGAAUUUCUUGAGACUUACACUACCAGCUGUUCAGAAGGAGAAAAAAAAAAAAAAAAA